Molecule: ribosomal RNA, 420 nt
Filed under: uncultured bacterium
Lineage: Bacteria
Description: bacterial SSU rRNA
Rfam family: Bacterial small subunit ribosomal RNA
Source: RNAcentral
UAAGGAAUAUUGCUCAAUGGGAGACAUCCUGAAGCAGCAACGCCGCGUGGAGGAUGAAGGGUCUAUGACUUGUAAACUCCUGUAAAGAAGGAAAAAAUUCCCAUUUGAUGGGAGAUGAUGGUACUUCUGGAGUAAGCCCCGGCUACCUACGUGCCAGCAGCCGCGGUAAUACGUAGGGGGCAAGCGUUGUCCGGAUUUACUGGGGUUAAAGGGUGCUCAGGCGGAUUUGUAAGUCAGAGGUGAAAUCUUACAGCUUAACUGUGAAACUGCCUUUGAUACUGCAAGCCUAGAGUAUGGAAGAGAGGGAUGGAAUAUCCGGUGUAGAAGUGAAAUGCGUAGAUAUCAGAUAGAACAACAAUGGCGAAGGCAGUCACUUGGUCCAUUACUGACGCUAAAGCACGAAAGCGUGGGUAGCAAACA